This 433-nucleotide ribosomal RNA is filed under the name uncultured bacterium. RNAcentral describes it as "partial 16S ribosomal RNA". It matches the Rfam family "Bacterial small subunit ribosomal RNA", at positions 29 to 507 of the family's 1533-position model. The record is from RNAcentral.
AACGAAGGCUGGCGGCAUGCCUAACACAUGCAAGUCGAACGAGACCUUCGGGUCUAGUGGCGCACGGGUGCGUAACGCGUGGGAACCUGCCCUUAGGUUCGGAAUAACUCCCCGAAAGGGGUGCUAAUACCGGAUAAUGUCUUCGGACCAAAGAUUUAUCGCCUUUGGGUGGGCCCGCGUUGGAUUAGCUAGUUGGUAGGGUAAAAGCCUACCAAGGCGACGAUCCAUAGCUGGUCUGAGAGGAUGAUCAGCCACACUGGGACUGAGACACGGCCCAGACUCCUACGGGAGGCAGCAGUGGGGAAUAUUGGAAAAUGGGCGAAAGCCUGAUCCAGCAAUGCCGCGUGAGUGAUGAAGGCCUUAGGGUUGUAAAGCUCUUUUACCCGGGAUGAUAAUGACAGUACCGGGAGAAUAAGCACCGGCUAACUCCGUG